UACGAGGGGGGCAAGCGUUAUCCGGAAUCAUUGGGCGUAAAGGGUUCGUAGGCGGACUGAUCAGUUGGAAUUGAAAGACCACGGCUUAACCGAGGGAACGGUUUCAAUACUGUCAGUCUUGAGUGAGGUAGAGGUAAGCGGAAUUCCUGGUGUAGCGGUGAAAUGCGUAGAUAUCAGGAGGAACAUCAAAGGCGAAGGCAGCUUACUGGGCCUAUACUGACGCUGAGGAACGAAAGCGUGGGGAGCAAAC
Molecule: ribosomal RNA, 250 nt
Filed under: uncultured bacterium
Lineage: Bacteria
Description: partial 16S ribosomal RNA
Rfam family: Bacterial small subunit ribosomal RNA
Source: RNAcentral